This is a long non-coding RNA of Cervus elaphus (red deer), 427 nucleotides long. RefSeq lists it as uncharacterized. NCBI's taxonomy places the organism in Eukaryota, Metazoa, Chordata, Mammalia, Artiodactyla, Cervidae. The transcript has 4 exons. The record is from RefSeq and is a predicted model, not a curated record.
AUGAAAGGCCCACGUUGUAGAGAACAUUCUCCACUCCUGAUAAACAGGAUAUCGGACUCCCCUCGGAGAUGAUGCCUGCUCACCUGAGUCCAUCCCAGCUCACAGGAAAUCCUGAAGGAACUCUGUGGCCAACCCAAUACAUCAUAAUACUAACGUCACCAGGCUAUUGGGAUGAUUAACUAAGAGCCAAAGACAUGGCCCUGGUGGAUGUGAGUGGUCCAAGUCCUCAGGCAGCGGCUCUCAGCCCUGGCAGGUGGUACAGAGCCCACACGGGAACUUGAAGGAGAUGGGAAUGCUUCAAAAGGCGUUCUAUCUGGGGGAGAAAUGGGUUCCCGGAAGAACUGAUGCUUUCAAACUAUGGUGCUGGAGAAGACUCUUGAGAGCCGCUUGGACUGCAAGAAGAUCAAACCAGUCAAUCCUAGAGGAA